GACUCCAUAGCCAAGCUGGUUAAGCCGUGCGACUGUUAAUCGCAAGAUCCUGAGUUCAAUCGUCAGUGGGGUUG
This 74-nucleotide transfer RNA is filed under the name Tetrapisispora phaffii CBS 4417. RNAcentral describes it as "tRNA-Asn (GTT) (tRNA-Asn-GTT-2-1)". It matches the Rfam family "tRNA". Rfam says of the family: Transfer RNA (tRNA) molecules are approximately 80 nucleotides in length. Their secondary structure includes four short double-helical elements and three loops (D, anti-codon, and T loops). The record is from Rfam by way of RNAcentral. Lineage: Eukaryota; Fungi; Ascomycota; Saccharomycetes; Saccharomycetales; Saccharomycetaceae.